CCUACGGGGGGCUUCAUUUUUUCCUCUUCCCCCCGGGGGGGGGGGCGGAGGGUGUUGUGGUGCGUGUGGGUAGAAGGUCAUCGGGUUGUAAAGCACUUUUAGUGAGGAAGAAAGCCUGGUGGUUAAUACCCAUCAGGAAAGACAUCACUCACAGAAGAAGCACCGGCUAACUCCGUGCCAGCAGCCGCGGUAAUACGGAGGGUGCGAGCGUUAAUCGGAAUUACUGGGCGUAAAGCGCGCGUAGGUGGCUUGAUAAGCCGGUUGUGAAAGCCCCGGGCUCAACCUGGGAACGGCAUCCGGAACUGUCAAGCUAGAGUGCAGGAGAGGAAGGUAGAAUUCCCGGUGUAGCGGUGAAAUGCGUAGAGAUCGGGAGGAAUACCAGUGGCGAAGGCGGCCUUCUGGACUGACACUGACACUGAGGUGCGAAAGCGUGGGUAGCAAACAGGAUUAGCUACCCUAGUAGUC
RNAcentral lists this ribosomal RNA (465 nucleotides) under Vreelandella stevensii. Its description in RNAcentral is "partial 16S ribosomal RNA". It matches the Rfam family "Bacterial small subunit ribosomal RNA", at positions 338 to 795 of the family's 1533-position model. The record is from RNAcentral. Lineage: Bacteria; Pseudomonadati; Pseudomonadota; Gammaproteobacteria; Oceanospirillales; Halomonadaceae.